Molecule: ribosomal RNA, 253 nt
Filed under: uncultured bacterium
Lineage: Bacteria
Description: partial 16S ribosomal RNA
Rfam family: Bacterial small subunit ribosomal RNA
Source: RNAcentral
UACGGGGGGGGCAAGCGUUGUUCGGAAUUACUGGGCGUAAAGGGCGCGUAGGCGGCCAACUAAGUCAGAUGUGAAAUCCCUCGGCUUAACCGGGGAACUGCGUCUGAUACUGGAUGGCUAGAGAUUGGAAGAGGGAUGCGGAAUUCCAGGUGUAGCGGUGAAAUGCGUAGAUAUCUGGAGGAACACCGGUGGCGAAGGCGGCAUCCUGGAACAGCACUGACGCUGAGGAGCGAAAGCCAGGGGAGCAAACGGG